UACGUAGGGUGCGAGCGUUAAUCGGAAUUACUGGGCGUAAAGCGUGCGCAGGCGGUUCGCUAAGACCGAUGCGAAAUCCCCGGGCUUAACCUGGGAACUGCAUUGGUGACUGGCGGGCUAGAGUAUGGCAGAGGGGGGUAGAAUUCCACGUGUAGCAGUGAAAUGCGUAGAGAUGUGGAGGAAUACCGAUGGCGAAGGCAGCCCCCUGGGCCAAUACUGACGCUCAUGCACGAAAGCGUGGGGAGCAAACAGG
Molecule: ribosomal RNA, 253 nt
Filed under: uncultured bacterium
Lineage: Bacteria
Description: partial 16S ribosomal RNA
Rfam family: Bacterial small subunit ribosomal RNA
Source: RNAcentral